This 330-nucleotide long non-coding RNA is filed under the name Monodelphis domestica (gray short-tailed opossum). Its description in RNAcentral is "lncRNA (ENSMODG00000047895.1)". The record is from RNAcentral. Lineage: Eukaryota; Metazoa; Chordata; Mammalia; Didelphimorphia; Didelphidae.
AUGAAUUGAAGGUCUCUUCCAGCAUGGAAUGCCAUGAUCCUUACCCUCCCGUGUUCAGAUGCUCUGCACCAUCUUCUGGCUAACCUCACAUUUUCUAAAGAUUUCAGAAAGCUGCCUCUCUUCCAAUUACUCGCGCAGACAAGCCCAUUUUUGACAUGUCAUUUCUGAUGGAUUAGAUCUUUACAUAAGCACCUACUUGGUCCAGUGCUAUUAUCAGACCCAUUUUACAAAUGGGGAAACAGAUUGAAUGAAGUGACUUUCUCAGGAUCACAAGGAUGUUAAGGUCUGAGAAGGAGAGUGAUCACUAAGAUCCAAAGAGAUAAGAGAAGG